UGGGCUGGAAUUUGGCCAUUUGGGGGUGAAAUUGGGGAAUUUUCGGGUGAAAUUCAGAAAUUUGGGGAUGAAAUUUGGGGAUUUUGGGAUGAAAUUUGGGGAUUUUGGGGGUGAAAUUUGGGGAUUUUUGGUGGAAUUUGAAGAUUUUGGGGUGAAAUUCAGGGAAUUGGGAUGAAAUGUGGAGAUUUUGAGGUGAAAUGUGGAGAUUUUUGGGGUGACAUUUGGAGAUUUUAGGGUGAAAUUCGGGGAUUUGGGGUGAAAUUUUGGGAUUUUGGGGUGAAAUUUUGGAAUUUUGGGGUGACAUUUUUGGGAUUUUGGGAGAAAUUUGCGGAUUUUAGGUCAAAAUUGGCGGAUUUUGCUCCAAGCACAAAGACACGAAGCCCCCGAGGGUCGUUUUUAAUCCUUUGGGGAGGGGUUUGAAGCCACAGAGGUGCCCCAGAUGCCACCAAGGUGUCCCCAGAUGUCCCCAGGUGCCACCCAGAUGUCCCCAGAUGCCACCCAGGUGUCCCCAGGCACCCCCGAGUGCCACCAAUGUGUCCCCAGAAGCUACCAGGUGUCCCCAGAUGCCACUUGGAUGUCCCCAGGUGCCACCCAGAUGUCCCCAGAUGCCACUCGGAUGUCCUCAAGUGCCACCAAGGUGUCCCCAGAUGCCACCCAGAUGUCCCCAGGUGCCACCCAGAUGUCCCCAGAUGCCACCAAGGUACUCCCAGAUGUCCCCAGGCAUCACCAAGUGCCACCCUGAUGUCCCAAAGUGCCACCCACAUGUCCCCAAGUGCCACCCAGGUGCCCCCAGGUGUCCCCAGGUGCCCCAAAGUGCCACCCAGAUGUCUCCAAGUGCCACCCAGGUACCCCCAGAUGUCCCAAAGUGCCACCCAGAUGUCCUCAGAUGUCCCCAGAUGCCACCAAGGUACCCCCAGAUGCCACCUAGGUGUCCCCAGAUGCCACCAAGGUGACCCCAAGUGUCCCUAGACACCUCCCAGGCAUCCCCAAGUGCCACCCAGAUGACCCCAGAUGUCCCCAGGUGUCCCAAAGUGCCACCCAGAUGUCCCCAGAUGUCCCAAAGUGCCACCCAGGUGCCCCCAGAUGUCCCCAAGUGCCACCCCAAUGUCCCCAAGUGCCACCAAGGUACCCCCAGAUACCAGCUAGGUGUCCCCACGUGCCACCAAGGUACCCCCAGAUGCCACCAAGGUGCCUCCAGGUGUCCCCAAACACCCCCCUGAUGUCCCCAAAUGCCACCCUGCCCGCUGUCACCUGAGCUGUGUCUUGGCCCCGAUGGCCGCGGGCGCUACCCUGAUGUCCCCAAGUGCCACCAAGGUACCCCUAGAUGCCAGCUAGGUGUCCCCACGUGCCACCCAGGUGCCCCCAGGUGUCCCCAGAUGCCACCAGAUGCCACCAAGGUGCCACCCCGAUGUCCCCAAGUGCCACCCACCCCGCUGUCACCUGAGCUGUGUCUCGGCCCCGAUGGGCGCGGGCGCGGGCAGUUUGGAGUCCAGGUUGUAGAAGGUGUCCCCGAGGCGGCGCACGCAGAGCCAGUGGGGGCGGCACAGCGGCAGCGCCAGCGCGCCCAGCCGCACCCGCGAGGGCACGUUCAGCAGCAGCCCCAGCACGUGCGGCAGCGACAGCCGCUCCAGCGGCCUGAGGGGUAAUUAACGGCCUUGCGUUAAUUGGGGCUCGUCUCGUUAAUUGGGGGUCAUGAAGGUUAGGAACGCGGUGGGGGCGGGUGGUUGUGGUGGGCUGGAGGGCGGUCAAACGGGUUUGGAGGGGAUGGAAUUUGGGGCUGGGGGCUCUGGGAGGGUCUAGAUUUGGGUGUGGGGUCCUGGAAGGGGUCUGGAAUUUGGGUCUGGGGUCUCGAGGGUGUGUCCUGAAAUUGGGGAGGGGUCUCAGCGCUGUUUGUCCCAAAAUACUCAAGGAGAAAGGAAAAAUCUGAGAGGUCCCAUAUUGGGUUGGGGGGUCCUAAAUUGGGUCUGGGAUCUCAAAGAGGUCUCAAAUUUGGGUCUGGGGUCUCGGCAGCCCCAGCACGUGCGGCAGCGACAGCCGCUCCAGCGGCCUGCGGGGUAAUUAACGGCCUUCUGUUAAUUGGGGCUCGUCUCGGUAAUUGGGGUCAUGCAGGUUACGAACGCGGC
Taeniopygia guttata (zebra finch) is the source of this 2123-nucleotide long non-coding RNA. The record is from Ensembl. NCBI's taxonomy places the organism in Eukaryota, Metazoa, Chordata, Aves, Passeriformes, Estrildidae.